GACGAACGCUGGCGGCGUGCUUAACACAUGCAAGUCGAACGGAAAGGCCCUGCUUUUGUGGGGUGCUCGAGUGGCGAACGGGUGAGUAACACGUGAGUAACCUGCCCUUGACUUUGGGAUAACUUCAGGAAACUGGGGCUAAUACCGGAUAGGAGCUCCUGCUGCAUGGUGGGGGUUGGAAAGUUUCGGCGGUUGGGGAUGGACUCGCGGCUUAUCAGCUUGUUGGUGGGGUAGUGGCUUACCAAGGCUUUGACGGGUAGCCGGCCUGAGAGGGUGACCGGCCACAUUGGGACUGAGAUACGGCGCAGACGCCUACGGGAGACAGCAGGGGGGAGUAUUGCACAAUGGGCGGAAGCCUGAUGCGGCAACGCCGCGUGCGGGAUGACGGCCUGCGGGUUGUGAACCGCUUUCGCCUGUGACGAAGCGUGAGUGACGGUAAUGGGUAAAGAAGCACCGGCUAACUACGUG
Molecule: ribosomal RNA, 468 nt
Filed under: uncultured bacterium
Lineage: Bacteria
Description: partial 16S ribosomal RNA
Rfam family: Bacterial small subunit ribosomal RNA
Source: RNAcentral